UUCAGUAGCAGUAUUUGUUUGCUGUGUGU
This 29-nucleotide non-coding RNA is filed under the name Mus musculus (house mouse). The record is from RNAcentral. Lineage: Eukaryota; Metazoa; Chordata; Mammalia; Rodentia; Muridae.